GCACCUCCCUUACAAGGAGGGGGUCGGCGGUUCGAUCCCGUCAUCACCCACCA
This 53-nucleotide transfer RNA is filed under the name Escherichia coli. RNAcentral's name for it is "tRNA-Ser". It matches the Rfam family "tRNA", at positions 23 to 71 of the family's 71-position model. Rfam says of the family: Transfer RNA (tRNA) molecules are approximately 80 nucleotides in length. Their secondary structure includes four short double-helical elements and three loops (D, anti-codon, and T loops). Further hydrogen bonds mediate the characteristic L-shaped molecular structure. tRNAs have two regions of fundamental functional importance: the anti-codon, which is responsible for specific mRNA codon recognition, and the 3' end, to which the tRNAs corresponding amino acid is attached (by aminoacyl-tRNA synthetases). tRNAs cope with the degeneracy of the genetic code in two manners: having more than one tRNA (with a specific anti-codon) for a particular amino acid; and 'wobble' base-pairing, i.e. permitting non-standard base-pairing at the 3rd anti-codon position. RNAcentral also lists the same sequence under 2 other names. The record is from RNAcentral. Lineage: Bacteria; Pseudomonadati; Pseudomonadota; Gammaproteobacteria; Enterobacterales; Enterobacteriaceae.